RNAcentral lists this ribosomal RNA (253 nucleotides) under uncultured bacterium. Its description in RNAcentral is "partial 16S ribosomal RNA". It matches the Rfam family "Bacterial small subunit ribosomal RNA", at positions 524 to 776 of the family's 1533-position model. The record is from RNAcentral.
UACGUAGGUGACAAGCGUUGUCCGGAUUUACUGGGCGUAAGGAGCGCGCAGGCGGUCGAUCAAGUCGAGUGUGAAAGCCCCCGGCUCAACUGGGGAGGGUCACGCGAUACUGUUCGACUCGAAGGCAGGAGAGGGAAGCGGAAUUCCCGGUGUAGUGGUGAAAUUCGUAGAUAUUGGGAAGAACACCGGUGGCGAAGGCGGCGACCUGGUCCUUGACUGACGCUGAGGCGCGAAAGCGUGGGGAGCAAACAGG